Molecule: transfer RNA, 76 nt
Filed under: Candidatus Babelota bacterium
Lineage: Bacteria
Description: Candidatus Dependentiae bacterium tRNA-Glu
Rfam family: tRNA
About the family: Transfer RNA (tRNA) molecules are approximately 80 nucleotides in length. Their secondary structure includes four short double-helical elements and three loops (D, anti-codon, and T loops).
Source: RNAcentral
GUCCCCAUCGUCUAGAGGCCUAGGACACAAGGUUUUCAUCCUUGUAACAGGGGUUCGACUCCCCUUGGGGACGCCA